GGAGUCAGGAUCUGAGCUUAGAUGCUUUAUUUUUCUAUCUGGAAACUAAAAAGAAAAAAGCAAGCCACAUAUUUAGUUAAUGGUCUCUAAGUUUUUAGCCCUUGACUGCUAAAUAAAUAGGUUGAUUGGGGUAUCAGAAAGGGAAAAGUUUGGGAGUCGAUAAUUUAUUUUUCCUUUGAAAGUUUCCCUUCGAUUAGUUGCACAUUUAGUUUAAUGAGAUCUGAGCAUUUGCAAAUAGGCAAAAUAAUGGGAAGAAACAACCAAAUCUAUUUAUUCUGGAAGAUCUGGCUUUUCCUUCUCUACUGGCAGACUCUUGGGAGCCACUUACAUAUCUUACAGGAGUCAUGUGUUUCCUCCUGCUCAUGUCCCAGGUCUCACAGACCAGCAGACACUCUUGCUCACGUGCAUGGUUCUGUCAUAUAAAGGUGAUGAAGCGCCAUGCUGAGAGGAGACCUAGACACCUGUUUAAUUUUGAGGCCGACUGUUGGCAGUUCAUUUCCCACAGACACCCUUGCUCCUCAGGCUGCCUGUUUUGGUGUUGUAUAGCUCUGUGAAGGCAGCUGGGCAAUAAAUAGUGUUAGCAUACCGCUGGAAAUGAGAUUUGUGAGUAUGGGGGAAGGGCUAUUUGUUGUCUUGUUUUGUUUUCAAAAACUAUCAUUAGGAGAAAGGUCAUUUUUUGAAGAUGUUCAAGUUCCUCUGAGGAAAAGAAACCACUGAUAGAAUGUUUUUUUUUUUUUAAUGAAUGACUGAUUUUAGGUAGUGUUUGUUGAAUGACUGAUUUCAGGUGGUGUCUGUGAAUGGUUUCUGAUGGUGUUUGUGAAUGACUGACUUUUCAAAUGAAACCUUGAAGGGAAAGAGAUGUAAGCCUAGAAUGAACCCCAGUAGACUUAAUGUUUCCAGCUGCAGGUCUCCAUUUGAGAUGGGGACAUUCUUCAGGUAGAUAGCUCUGACACAAAUAGUGUGUCAUCACAGAUAACAGCUAUCUUGGUGGCAUCAGGAGACUGUUCAUGAAACAAGGGCAUCGCUGUGAAUGUUUUCUCUCCCUGUGCCAUGAGAUUAUAGCUGGAUGACUUGUCUUUGGACUACACCUGAGUAAAAAGAAAAAAUCCUGAUGGCUGGUGCCAACGGAGCCAACGAUUGUGACACGAGAUUCCUGGCAAUGCUAAUAAUGAGCCAGGAUUUACAAAUCCCUGUCUUAGCCCUGGGACAUGGAAAAUAUUUCUCUUCAGUAAAUAGUUAGAAAUCAUCCACUUGUGAGCGGCUGUCAGAUCGCUCUGCCACCGGAUUACUUAUUAGAGAGCAAGGGUUCUGGAAUGAGUUGAUGCCGACCGAUCAUUGGCUGUCCUGUAGAGGAUCUUUCACUGUAUCGUCUCAUUAAUGAAUUUGAGAGUUGAGACUUUGGCUUCUAAAGAACUAAACUCUCAUACUUUGAAACGCAGAUAUUUUUCCCCUAUACGUCUCAGGAAUCCGAAGACCUCUGUGUCCAGGAAAAACAAUCAGCAUCGUUACUACCUAUAUAGGACGUUAUAUAAAAUAAUUUACAUUUUUUCGAGUUAAUGGGAUAAGGUGUUGUGAGAGUCAUAGUUCUAUAGCAUCUGACAGGGCCUGUGAGGUGCAUUUCAUUUUAGGGGUAUGUGUUCUAACUCAAAAGCCCCUCGAAGCAUUUGGGUGGAUCAUGGUAGCCAUACACACCGUGAGCUUUAGCUCUCAGUUACUAGGAGAGUUUUUGGGAAAAUUUGUUUAUGCCGUGUCUCAAGUCCUAUUACCUGAUGAUAAGUAACCAAUACUAGGUUUUAUAGGGUGUUUUCCUUUUGGAAAGCACAAACAAUGUUCUAUUUCAGGAACCCUGUGGUAGAGUGUCUUGUCUGGAUGUUGGUUAGGUACCAUCUGGGGUGCUUCCGUCCUCCACAGCUCUGCAGCACCUGUGCACUGGAAGGCCACACGGUGACUCAAGGAAAGCAAAGCAAACAGAGCAACCACACCCAGAACAGUGACAACCUGACAGGGAACUGCCAGAAAAGCCCUUUUGUUCCUUCAUAUUUCCACCAUUAUGUCCUUCAUUACCUUUUUAAUGUGGUGACAAUCAGGAAAUGAUCUCCAUUAGAGGAUAACACUCUCUGCUAGCCUAUCAGCUGGAGAAUUAGGAGACGUAUGUGAGGAGGGAAUUAUAAGUAGCUCACCAAGUAUUAAGUCCCCUAUCUGUAGACCAGCUCUGACCGGUUAUGGGCAGUGGAAAGAUCCCAUCAGUUCAUGCUUACCAGCUCUUACUGGCAAACCUUUCCUCCCCACUUAUGAGCUAUAGAAGAUGCUUUGUGUCCCUUGUCUUCUGAUCAUAUUUCCUCCCAUUACUCAUCUGUAGCUCAGGGGCUUAUUGUUUUCCUCGAGCACAUUUAAUCGUGAUAUUCUCCAUUCCUUGGAUUUAGAGUUAGAGUCUUUGUUUCAUGCAUCCAAAAAAGGCAGUGUAAAGUUGUCAGGAGUACUUAGCCAAGAAUCGUCAACACCUUUGAAAACUAGAGUCUGUAAAGUGAGCCAGAUACACAGAGCAGCAAAAGAUUUUAACCCUGCCAGCUACCCACAAGGAUGCAGUGUAAAAAUCUGUAGGAGCUGUGCUAAUAGCAGUGCGCCACACUGGCACAGUGCAGUGUAUGAUCUGUGCUAAUAGCAGUGUGCCACACUGGCACAGUGCAGUGUAUGAGCUGUGCUGGUUGCAGUGUGCCACACUGGCACAGUGCAGUGUAUGAGCUGUGCUGGUUGCAGUGCGCCACACUGGCACAGUGCAGUGUAUGAGCUGUGCUGGUUGCAGUGCGCCAGUGGCACAGUGUGGUGUUCAGGCAACCUCUAUUCUCUUUGGGGUUUUAUGUUGCUAAGAACAAGAGGAUAAUUUAAAAAGCAUUUUUUACCAAGAGCAUUAUGAAAAUGGAUUGGCUUGCAGAUACUGCUGUUUCUUUUAAAUAAGAAUAUUCUGUGCUCUAAUAAAACAGUUGCCAGCAUAUCAAGACCAUUGCAAUAACUGAGUUCCUGAUUAUAAUGAUUUGCAGCUGUGAUCCUGGGGGCCCCAGUGUAUCAUUCGUGGCUGUCUCUAUUUCUGAAAAUUGUGUGCCAUUUUUCAUUCCUGUAAACACAAAUUCUGGUUUGACAGAUUGGAUAUACUUUUCUCUUAGUAAUUUAAAACAUCAUCUAGGUACAAAUACAUGUUACACAGUCUGCUGUGUUGUCCUGUUAAAUGAUACAAAAUGAUUUCUAAAUUUCAAAUGGUUUCUUUUGGUUAACACAGCCCCACAAUUAAAUGAAGAAAACUAGGGGGAACAGAGCACAGUAAAGAAGAGAUCACAGGGGCAGACUGGUGAGAAAGCACCAUGGUACAAGAGAAGUGAUUACAAACAGCCCCUGAGAGGUGUAAACUGCCCGACUGCUCCAGCUCUAAAGCCUUUGGGGCCACCUCUGAAGCAUGAUGUGAACAUAAAGUGGGAACAAGAGCUGCAGAAAUCCUCAGAUACGCUGGAGAGAGUGGUCAGGCAGAGCCAGCACUGUCCAGAUCGGGCUGGAGGGAUUGUCUGCUUCACUUGCUGCAGUGAUGAAGAAAGCCUAGCAUCCCGUGAAACUGUUAGGACUUUGGUUUCCUAGCAGUUUCCCUCCUGCUUCAGUUCCCAUCUACAGGAGAUUGAUAGACUGUUUCCGCCUGCUUAGCACUGCUUUUUCUUCCUUGGAACACCUCUGCCUUUGAGCACCUGGUUUUUAUUAAUGCUUCUAAACCACACUUCUGUGACAUACU
RNAcentral lists this long non-coding RNA (3772 nucleotides) under Mus musculus (house mouse). RNAcentral's name for it is "long non-coding RNA chr2:69018095-69021867". Lineage: Eukaryota; Metazoa; Chordata; Mammalia; Rodentia; Muridae. The record is from RNAcentral.